This 346-nucleotide ribosomal RNA is filed under the name Longivalvus nubilus. RNAcentral's name for it is "partial 12S ribosomal RNA". Lineage: Eukaryota; Metazoa; Arthropoda; Insecta; Psocodea; Psocidae. The record is from RNAcentral.
UGCAUGUAUAUUAACAUUAUUCAAAUAAUUAUUAUAAAAAAAUUUUACUUAUAAAUCCAAUUUAAUAAAAAUAUUUCAAAUCUUAAACCAUAAAUAAUUUUAUUGUAAUACAUUUUAACUUAAAUAUAAUCUGCACCUUGACCUGACUUAUUUCAAACUAUAAAAUACAAAAAAUAUUUUAAAAAAUUUUUUUAAGACGGAGAUAUACAAAAUAAAUUUAUUUAAGUAAGAUUAAUGUGGAUUAUCAAUUAAAAAACAUAUUCCUCUAAUUAGAAUAUACACCGCCAAAUUCUUUAAGUUUCCUGCCCCAAACAUAUACUACUCUAAAUUAAAUUUACAUAAACUA